CAGUCGCCACGGGAAUACGAAGGGGGCUAGCGUUGUUCGGAUUUACUGGGCGUAAAGCGCACGUAGGCGGACUUUUAAGUCAGGGGUGAAAUCCCGGGGCUCAACCCCGGAACUGCCUUUGAUACUGGAAGUCUUGAGUAUGGUAGAGGUGAGUGGAAUUCCGAGUGUAGAGGUGAAAUUCGUAGAUAUUCGGAGGAACACCAGUGGCGAAGGCGGCUCACUGGACCAUUACUGACGCUGAGGUGCGAAAGCGUGGGGAGCAAACAGGAUUAGAUACCCGUGUAGUCCCUGUCUCUUAUAC
Molecule: ribosomal RNA, 301 nt
Filed under: uncultured bacterium
Lineage: Bacteria
Description: partial 16S ribosomal RNA
Rfam family: Bacterial small subunit ribosomal RNA
Source: RNAcentral